This 253-nucleotide ribosomal RNA is filed under the name uncultured bacterium. RNAcentral describes it as "partial 16S ribosomal RNA". It matches the Rfam family "Bacterial small subunit ribosomal RNA", at positions 524 to 776 of the family's 1533-position model. RNAcentral also lists the same sequence under 1 other name. The record is from RNAcentral.
UACGUAGGGUGCAAGCGUUAAUCGGAAUUACUGGGCGUAAAGCGUGCGCAGGCGGUGAUGUAAGACAGAUGUGAAAUCCCCGGGCUCAACCUGGGAACUGCAUUUGUGACUGCAUCGCUGGAGUACGGCAGAGGGGGAUGGAAUUCCGCGUGUAGCAGUGAAAUGCGUAGAUAUGCGGAGGAACACCGAUGGCGAAGGCAAUCCCCUGGGCCUGUACUGACGCUCAUGCACGAAAGCGUGGGGAGCAAACAGG